This 136-nucleotide microRNA precursor is filed under the name Gossypium barbadense (sea-island cotton). RNAcentral describes it as "MIR7502 microRNA precursor family". It matches the Rfam family "MIR7502 microRNA precursor family". The record is from Rfam by way of RNAcentral. Lineage: Eukaryota; Viridiplantae; Streptophyta; Magnoliopsida; Malvales; Malvaceae. RNAcentral also lists the same sequence under 2 other names.
UGUUAAAAAAUUUCAUCAAUAUUUAUUGUUAAAACUUAACGUCGCUGACAAAAUAAUCAAACAGUUACACAAUGCGUGCUAUGUGUACCUCAGAAGGAGUAAUUUUUAAUAGUAGAAUUUGAUGGAAUUUUUAAUA